RNAcentral lists this transfer RNA (80 nucleotides) under Sus scrofa (pig). It matches the Rfam family "tRNA". Rfam says of the family: Transfer RNA (tRNA) molecules are approximately 80 nucleotides in length. The record is from Rfam by way of RNAcentral. Lineage: Eukaryota; Metazoa; Chordata; Mammalia; Artiodactyla; Suidae.
UCCCUGGUAGUCUAGCUGUUAAGGAUCCAGCAUUCUCAAUGCUGUGUCCUGUGGCUUGGGUUCAAUCCCUGGCCUGGGGA